CUAAGGGCGUACGGUGAAUGUCUUGGCGCCAGAAGCCGACGAAGGACGCGGAAGGCUGCGAUAAGCCUCGGGUAGCUGUCAAACAAGCCUUGACCCGGGGAUCUCCGAAUCGGGAAACCGACCACCCUUAACCGGAUGGUAUCCGGCACUGAAUACAUAGGUGUCGGAAGGCAACGCGGGGAACUGAAACAUCUCAGUACCCGUAGGAACAGAAAGAAAACCCUCGACUUCCUCAGUAGCGGCGAGCGAAAGGGAAUCAGCCCAAACCUCUCGUGCUUGCACGAGGGGGGUUGCGGGAAGCGUUCAGGGCCCAGCCCGGAGAGUUACAAAAGCCAACCUAGCCAAAGUGGUCUGGAAAGUCCCACCAUAGCGGGUGAAAGUCCCGUAGGCGAAAGGCGAAGCUCUCUCUGGAACGUUCUCCCAAGUAGCACGGAGCUCGUGGAACUCCGUGUGAAUCCGGGUGGACCAUCACCCAAGGCUAAGUACUAUCUGGCGACCGAUAGCGUAAUAGUAGCGCGAGCGAAAGAUGAAAAGCACCCUUGUUAAGGGAGUGAAAUAGCACCUGAAACCGUAUGCCUACAAAGCUGUCGGAGCACUAUGCCCCUCGCAAGAGGGGAAUGUGUGACGGCGUGCCUUUUGCAUAAUGAUCCGGCGAGUUUAUGUGCGCGGCAAGGCUAAUGGCCUCAGGCCAGGAGCCGUAGCGAAAGCGAGUGCGAAAUGCGCGACUCAGUCGCGUGCAUAAGACCCGAAACCAAGUGAUCUACUCAUGGGCAGGCUGAAGGUCGGGUAACACCGGCUGGAGGGCCGAACCCACAACCGUUGAAAAGGUUGGGGAUGACCUGUGAGGAGGACUGAAAGUGUAAUCAAACUUGGAGAUAUCUGGUUCUCCCCGAAAUAGCUUUAGGGCUAGCCUCACGCCACUACGUCAUGGAGGUAGAGCUACUGAAAGGAUUCGAGGGCCUACCCGGUUACUCAUUCCUAUCAAACUCCGAAUGCCGUGACGACUAUCGUGGGAGUCAGACUGUGGGGGAUAAGCUUCAUGGUCGAAAGGGAAACAGCCCAGAUCGCCGGCUAAGGUCCCUAAACCUGGCUAAGUGAAAAAGGAAGUGGAAGGGCUUGGACAGCUGGGAUGUUGGCUUAGAAGCAGCCAUCAUUUAAAAAGUGCGUAAUAGCUUACCAGUCGAUGUCCUUCUGCGCCGAUAAUGAACGGGACUCAAGCCAGGUACCGAAGCCGCGGAUUCUAGAAACUAGAUACUAGAUACUGGAUACUGGAAGGAAAGCUGCAAUGCCAUUUCAUCAACUGGAUGUAUUCCGCAAGUCCUAUCAGUUGGCUCUGGAGAUUCACAAACUCUCCCUUGGGUUCCCCAAGACCGAGCAGUUUGGCGGACUUGGAAGUCAAUUGAGGGACUCCUCGAAAUCCAUACCCGUCAACAUAGGCGAGGGCAUGGGAAAACAGGAGUCGCCCAGGGACGUGGUUCGCUUUGUGCGAAUCGCGCUGGGAUCGUGCGACGAGGUCCGGAUUUGGCUGGACUUUGCGCGGGACCUGGAAUACAUCAAACCGGACAAGCAUCGGGAACUCGACCUGCGUUACUGCGAGGUCGGUCGAAUGCUCACCGGGCUGCGAAAACGAUGGAUGUCGUUGUAGUUGUUCCUUUCUAGUCUCUAGUCUCUAGUUUCUAGUUUCUAGACUGGUAGGGGAGCGUUCUCGAGGGAUGAAGGCAGACGGUGACGACUGCUGGACCGUCGAGAAGUGAUUAUGCCGGAACGAGUAGCGAUAAAGGAAGUUAGAAUCUUCCUCGCCGUAAGCCUAAGGUUUCCUGGGGAAGGUAAAUCCGCCCAGGGUUAGUCGGACCCUAAGUCGAGGGCGAAAGCCGUAGACGAUGGACGACCGGUUAAUAUUCCGGUACUUCCUGUCGACGCUUGAGCAACGGCGGUUAGGGAAUGUAACAGCCAGCCAAAUCCUAUAGCUAUGGAAGGUCCAAGCCCGAGGGAUCGCGCCAGGCAAAUCCAGCGCGUAUGGUCCUAGAGGUGAGUGCGGGGCCUUUGGCCCGUAAGUGGCUCGAUCAUUCUCCAAGAAAUACCGUCUAGCGAGUCGCACAGGAAUCCGUACUAAAACCAACACAGGUCGGCAAGGAGAGCAUCCACAGGCGCUCGGGAGAACGCUGGUUAAGGAACUCGGCAAAUUGUCCCCGUAACUUCGGAAUAAGGGGAUCCUUCGAUGGUAAUCAGGCUUGCCUUGUGAGCCAUUGGAGGACUCAGAAAUCAGCCCAUGCGACUGUUUACUAAAAACACAGGACUGUGCAAAUGCGAAAGCGGAUGUAUACAGUCCGACGCGUGCCCGGUACCAGAAAGUUAAGGGAAGAGGUUAGUUCCUUCGGGAGCGAAGCUUUGAACUGAAGCUCUGGUGAACGGCGGCCGUAACUAUGACGGUCCUAAGGUAGCGAAGUUCCUAGACGGGUAAAUUCCGUCCUGCACGAAUCGCGUAACGAUAUGGGCACUGUCUCAACCGGCGACCCGGCGAAACUGUAGCUGUGGUGAAGAUGCCACAUACCCGCGGCUAGACGAAAAGACCCCAUGAACCUUCACUGCAUCAUGGUAUUGGGUUUCGACCUAACCUGUGUAGCAUAGGUGGGAGGCUGCGAAGUCAGGACGCUAGUUCUGAUGGAGCCAUCAGUGAAAUACCACUCUUGUUAUGUUGCAAUUCUAACCCCGCGCCGUGAAUCCGGCAGGGGAACAGUGCUAUGUGGGCAGUUUGACUGGGGCGGUCUCCUCCUAAAAGGUAACGGAGGAGUUCAAAGGCAUGCUCAGCGCGGUUGGCAAUCGCGCCUAGAGCGCAAGGGUACAAGCAUGCUUGACUGCGAGACUUAUAAGUCGAGCAGAUGGGAAACCAGGACCUAGUGACCCAAGGAUUCCGUAUGGAAGGGUCCCUGAUCAACAGAUAAAAGGUACUCUGGGGAUAACAGGCUGAUCGCCCCCAAGCGUCCAUAGCGACGGGGCGGUUUGGCACCUCGAUGUCGGCUCAUCGCAUCCUGGGGGUGAAGAAGCUCCCAAGGGUUUGGCUGUUCGCCAAUUAAAGCGGUACGCGAGCUGGGUUUAGACCGUCGCGAGACAGGUCGGUCUCUAUCUGCCGUGGGCGUAGGAUACUUGAGAAGCCCUGACCCUAGUACGAGAGGAUUGGGUUGGACGAACCUAUGGUGUACCAGUUGUCGCGCUAGCGGCAUCGCUGGGUAGCUAAGUUCGGAAAGGAUAAACGCUGAAAGCAUCUAAGUGUGAAGCCCUCUUCAAGAUUAGGUAUCCCCAUCAGGCCCGUUGAAGACUACGACGUUGAUAGGCCGGAGGUGUAAGGUCCGCAAGGACUUCAGCUGACCGGUACUAAUCGGCCGAUUGGCUUGACC
This 3395-nucleotide ribosomal RNA is filed under the name sediment metagenome. RNAcentral describes it as "bacterial LSU rRNA". It matches the Rfam family "Bacterial large subunit ribosomal RNA". The record is from RNAcentral.